Molecule: transfer RNA, 91 nt
Filed under: Natronospira bacteriovora
Lineage: Bacteria; Pseudomonadati; Pseudomonadota; Gammaproteobacteria; Natronospirales; Natronospiraceae
Description: tRNA-Ser
Rfam family: tRNA
About the family: Transfer RNA (tRNA) molecules are approximately 80 nucleotides in length.
Source: RNAcentral
GGAGAGGUGUCCGAGCGGUCGAAGGAGCACGCCUGGAAAGUGUGUGUACGUCUCAAGCGUACCGAGGGUUCGAAUCCCUCCCUCUCCGCCA